ACAACAUUCGGACCGUCGGUCUACCGAGCAAUUUCAUCCGCUCGGUGGAAAACCUUGUCUUUGUCGU
RNAcentral lists this microRNA precursor (67 nucleotides) under Bombyx mori (domestic silkworm). Its description in RNAcentral is "mir-2774 microRNA precursor family". It matches the Rfam family "mir-2774 microRNA precursor family". The record is from Rfam by way of RNAcentral. Lineage: Eukaryota; Metazoa; Arthropoda; Insecta; Lepidoptera; Bombycidae.